ACUAAUGUACAACCAAAUAAUGCUCAACCCAAGAAUGUACAGCCCAAUAAUUGGCGUCCAUGGUGGACGCGUAUUAUUGGGCUGUACAUUCCUGGGUUGAGCAUUCUCGGUCCGCGCAAGAUUGGUCCGGGGCGAUAAUACGAAGCCACUCUUUUCACAGGGCAAUAAUGUACGACCCCAUAAUUCGCGUCCACUAAUUUGAGUCCCUUGGCUUUCAAUUAUUGGGCUGCGCAUUAUUGGUCCAGGUCGAGAAAGCCCGACCCAAUAAUGUACGACCCAAUAAUUGGAAGCCAAAAACCAGAGACAUUCUUUUUUUUAAGGGAGCUGUCAAAAUUAGUAGGGACGUUCUGACAUUAGCUCUUGACAAUUUAAAAAUAAUCGGUUUUUUCUAGUGCCAUCUUUCAGUGACAUUGACAGUAUUGACACUUGUUGGUUUACAAAUACAAUAAAUGAAUUCUAAUAAAAGAAACAGUAGACUCAGUAGAGGUACGAGGUACUGAAAAAAUAUUAAUUAAUGGAGAAGCCGAAGUUGGAGGAAAACAAGAAGAUUCGAGGAGAAUGGUGUGGCACUUAAUGCCGCCGGGACAGUAACCUAGCUGCAACUCCAACUCUAGGGAAUUGGGCUGAAUGAACGCAACACGUGAUCGACAGCCCACCUGCUUCCUGCCGAGCGUCCCUACACUACCUCUACAUGGAUGCCUCGCUUAUUCUGCUCUACAAAACUUCUGAGCUGAUACAAGCAGCCAGAAUGAGUCUCUGCUGAGUCGCCGGCGCCGGACGUGCGUCGCGCGCCUCGGGCGUCUGACGUCUUCGUGUCAGUCGCCAAUUGCAGGAGAAGAUACGAAUAGUUAGGUAUAAAAGCUACUUUAGUCAACCUCGCCUCAGUACUGUUUGUAUUGACUGAAAUACAAGUAGCAUAUAUGAGACGUUCGGACGUAUCCGUGAAAAUACGAAGUACGAGUAAAGGAAAUUGCACUACAUUUUUAGAACCUAUUCACCUGUCAGUAAAAUAUUGAAAAGGAAUGUUCAUGAGUUUUAUAAUUUUCUUUCCUCCAACAGCUUCACAUGGAGCAAAUGUAAACCUUUUAUGUUAAUAAUAUCAGUAAUGUCAAGGUACAACGCUCUUUAGAUCAUAUUGCCAUUCCUUUUACUCGAGCGGCCUGUGGGUUAACUAUACGAAGCGAGCCUACAAUGCAUUAAAAGUGCAGUAUAACAAUGCAUUCACAAUGCUGUUGGGCUUACCUCGUAGAUGUAGUGCAUCUGGCAUCUUUUGCGAAGCUAGAAGUUUUCUGGCAAUCAUGCGCAAGAAAAUAGUAUCUCUGCUAGGUCGAGUUAGAAGCAGUCCCAAACAUACAUGUUCGAAAAGUAGAACUCCCUUAGAUCGUGUUUCAAUUUAUCGCCUCUCGUUGGCAAUUAAGGUGGUUCGCUUUCCAUACAAAAAACAAUUAAGUACCUAAUAGUGUGUAAUUACUUAAUAUAACGCAAUUGUUUUUUGUAUGGAAAGCGAACCACCUUAACUAUUCGCACAACGUUUUGUAGUUGCAGUAAGUACUUACAUAUGGCCAGUAAAAUUUUCGAAAUAGGUAUGUAUUUACGUACAGUGCUAAUUGCCGCACAUAGAAUAAUUAAAGUUUGAUCAAUCGGAAUAUGUUCAUAAGUCACUUAUUACAUUUCGAUUUAUAAGUCUGUAUUUUCCAGCUUUAGAUGUGCAUGACUGCAUAUGCACAUCUAAAGCUGAAAAAUGCUUUCAUGAAUACGUUUAUAAUUAUGGCUAAAUUAUGUUAAUAGGGACAAAUGUAUCAUUUUCAACCAAAGGGGUACUUAUUAUCUGUUGUCAAUAAGGCGCUAAGUAUUUCCAUAAAGCU
Molecule: long non-coding RNA, 1865 nt
Organism: Cydia splendana
Lineage: Eukaryota; Metazoa; Arthropoda; Insecta; Lepidoptera; Tortricidae
Exons: 3
Source: RefSeq, a predicted model, not a curated record